This is a long non-coding RNA of Chinchilla lanigera (long-tailed chinchilla), 980 nucleotides long. RefSeq lists it as uncharacterized. Lineage: Eukaryota; Metazoa; Chordata; Mammalia; Rodentia; Chinchillidae. The record is from RefSeq and is a predicted model, not a curated record. The transcript has 4 exons.
CUGAGCAGAGGCAGCUGAGCUGGUGUGAAAGGCCGUGGUGGAAACACACGUGCAUGAAAGAUGGAUCCCCAGAAAAAUUCACAGCAGCUUUCAUCACUGGCUAUCAAGCCCCUUCCUUACCAUGUCUCUAUCCCAGGAGGGCUGCACCCAGACAAGGUCAUCACUGUGUCAGGCAUUGUCCCUCACAAUGCUAAGAGGUUCAACAUCAACCUGUGCACUGAGAGUGACAUCGCCUUCCACCUGAACCCUCGUUUUGAUGAAAACAUUGUGGCCUGAAACACUCUGAUCCAGGGCAGCUGGGGAACAGAGGAGCGAGAUCUGCCCUUCAAUAUGCCCUUCAGACAAGGAUACAGCUUCAUGGCCCAGAUCAAAUGCGAAGAGGACUGCUACAAGGUGACCGUGGAUGGCCAAGACCUGCUAGAAUACCCCCACCGCCUGAAGGCCCUGCCAGCCAUUAAUCAGCUGGAGGUGGCUGGCGAUCUCGAGCUUACUACAGUGAAUGUCUAGGUGGGCUCCCUGGCCUGGUGCAUCACAGUCUGUGUCUCUUCCCGCUCCUCUUCCAUGCCCUACACCCACUUCCACGAAGCCCUGACCUCUGAGCAGAGAUUGCGGCUCACUGUAACAGCAGGCAAACCUCCAGCUCCACUCCUCCUGACCCUGUGGGGGUCCUGAGCCUGCUGAGCCCCAGCAAAGUCCCACACUGCAUGCGGCCCUCAAUCGCUCUCCCAUCCUCUGUGCAUCCCCACUUGGGUCCCAAGACACAGCUGUGCACUGCAGUAAGGAGGAGACCUGCAGGGCCCUCCCGGUCCAGUGACCUUAACCUCUGUCCUUGGCUGUGCACCCUGCUGCCCCCAACCCCUCUGGGAAGGCUGCUCUGGUGACAUCCCGCUGCCUUGCACCAGCUGACCAGACUUUCUCAGCGAGGGCUCCUCCCUUCCCUGGCAUCCUUAAAAUAAAGAAAACGCUGCACUGUUGGCACA